This 491-nucleotide ribosomal RNA is filed under the name Lactococcus lactis subsp. lactis bv. diacetylactis. Its description in RNAcentral is "bacterial SSU rRNA". It matches the Rfam family "Bacterial small subunit ribosomal RNA", at positions 1 to 476 of the family's 1533-position model. The record is from RNAcentral. Lineage: Bacteria; Bacillati; Bacillota; Bacilli; Lactobacillales; Streptococcaceae.
AUUUGAGAGUUUGAUCCUGGCUCAGGACGAACGCUGGCGGCGUGCCUAAUACAUGCAAGUUGAGCGCUGAAGGUUGGUACUUGUACCGACUGGAUGAGCAGCGAACGGGUGAGUAACGCGUGGGGAAUCUGCCUUUGAGCGGGGGACAACAUUUGGAAACGAAUGCUAAUACCGCAUAAAAACUUUAAACACAAGUUUUAAGUUUGAAAGAUGCAAUUGCAUCACUCAAAGAUGAUCCCGCGUUGUAUUAGCUAGUUGGUGAGGUAAAGGCUCACCAAGGCGAUGAUACAUAGCCGACCUGAGAGGGUGAUCGGCCACAUUGGGACUGAGACACGGCCCAAACUCCUACGGGAGGCAGCAGUAGGGAAUCUUCGGCAAUGGACGAAAGUCUGACCGAGCAACGCCGCGUGAGUGAAGAAGGUUUUCGGAUCGUAAAACUCUGUUGGUAGAGAAGAACGUUGGUGAGAGUGGAAAGCUCAUCAAGUGACGGU